CAUACCAUUUUCAAAAGUAGACAACUCAAAAUAUUGCAAAUGGGGUACGUCCAGUCUUUUUUAGUAGCCACUUAGUCACAAACACUGGCCAAAAUUAGCAUUUAGUUCUUUGCAUUUUUCACACACAAACAUAUAUGAAUGCUACCUUUGGCCAGUGUUUGUGACAAACACUGGCCAAAUAUUAGUUUUUUGCUUUUUUCACACAAAAACAAAUAUGAAUGCUAAAUUUGGCCAGUGUUUGUGACUAAGUGGCUACUAAAGAAGACCCCACUUUCAAUACCUUGGGUUGUCUACGUUUUCAAAUGGUAUG
Molecule: non-coding RNA, 310 nt
Organism: Pelobates cultripes (western spadefoot toad)
Lineage: Eukaryota; Metazoa; Chordata; Amphibia; Anura; Pelobatidae
Source: the annotation of a GenBank genome assembly